This 253-nucleotide ribosomal RNA is filed under the name uncultured bacterium. RNAcentral describes it as "partial 16S ribosomal RNA". It matches the Rfam family "Bacterial small subunit ribosomal RNA", at positions 524 to 776 of the family's 1533-position model. The record is from RNAcentral.
UACGUAGGGGGCAAGCGUUGUCCGGAAUCAUUGGGCGUAAAGCGCGUGUAGGCGGCUCGAUAAGUCUGCUGUGAAAGUCCAAGGCUCAACCUUGGGAUGCCGGUGGAUACUGUCGAGCUCGAGUCCGGAAGAGGAGUGUGGAAUUCCUGGUGUAGCGGUGAAAUGCGCAGAUAUCAGGAGGAACACCAAUGGCGAAGGCAGCACUCUGGGACGUGACUGACGCUGAGACGCGAAAGCCAGGGGAGCAAACGGG